RNAcentral lists this ribosomal RNA (485 nucleotides) under uncultured bacterium. RNAcentral describes it as "bacterial SSU rRNA". It matches the Rfam family "Bacterial small subunit ribosomal RNA", at positions 43 to 507 of the family's 1533-position model. The record is from RNAcentral.
CGUGCCUAAUACAUGCAAGUCGAGCGGAAUGAUGAAGAAGCUUGCUUCUUCUGAUUUUAGCGGCGGACGGGUGAGUAACACGUGGGCAACCUACCUUGUAGAUUGGGAUAACUCCGGGAAACCGGGGCUAAUACCGAAUAAUCCAUUUUGCUUCAUGGCGAGAUGUUGAAAGACGGUUUCGGCUGUCACUAUAAGAUGGGCCCGCGGCGCAUUAGCUAGUUGGUGAGGUAAUGGCUCACCAAGGCGACGAUGCGUAGCCGACCUGAGAGGGUGAUCGGCCACACUGGGACUGAGACACGGCCCAGACUCCUACGGGAGGCAGCAGUAGGGAAUCUUCCACAAUGGACGAAAGUCUGAUGGAGCAACGCCGCGUGAGUGAAGAAGGUUUUCGGAUCGUAAAACUCUGUUGUAAGGGAAGAACACGUACGAGAGUAACUGCUCGUACCUUGACGGUACCUUAUUAGAAAGCCACGGCUAACUACGUG